CCUACGGGAGGCAGCAGUGAGGAAUAUUGGUCAAUGGCCGAGAGGCUGAACCAGCCAAGUCGCGUGAGGGAAGAAUGUCCUAUGGAUUGUAAACCUCUUUUGUCAGGGAGCAAAGUCACCCACGUGUGGGUGUUGGAGAGUACCUGAAGAAAAAGCAUCGGCUAACUCCGUGCCAGCAGCCGCGGUAAUACGGAGGAUGCGAGCGUUAUCCGGAUUUAUUGGGUUUAAAGGGUGCGUAGGCGGGCAUUUAAGCCGGCGGUCAAAUGUCGGGGCUCAACCCCGGCCUGCCGUCGGGACUGGGUGCC
Molecule: ribosomal RNA, 305 nt
Filed under: uncultured bacterium
Lineage: Bacteria
Description: bacterial SSU rRNA
Rfam family: Bacterial small subunit ribosomal RNA
Source: RNAcentral